UUCAACGGAGAGUUUGAUCCUGGCUCAGGACGAACGCUGGCGGCGUGCUUAACACAUGCAAGUCGAACGCUGAAGCCUGGUGCUUGCACCGGGUGGAUGAGUGGCGAACGGGUGAGUAAUACGUGAGUGACCUGCCUUUGACUCUGGGAUAAGCCUGGGAAACUGGGUCUAAUACCGGAUGCGACUACUGCCCGCAUGGGCUGGUGGUGGAAAGGGUUAUGUACUGGUCUUAGAUGGGCUCACGGCCUAUCAGCUGGUUGGUGGGGUAAUGGCCUACCAAGGCGACGACGGGUAGCCGGCCUGAGAGGGUGACCGGCCACACUGGGAC
This 328-nucleotide ribosomal RNA is filed under the name Salmonella enterica subsp. enterica. Its description in RNAcentral is "bacterial SSU rRNA". It matches the Rfam family "Bacterial small subunit ribosomal RNA", at positions 1 to 319 of the family's 1533-position model. Lineage: Bacteria; Pseudomonadati; Pseudomonadota; Gammaproteobacteria; Enterobacterales; Enterobacteriaceae. The record is from RNAcentral.